UAAGGGUUAAUUAUUAAGUCACUUGAUUGGU
Molecule: non-coding RNA, 31 nt
Filed under: Mus musculus (house mouse)
Lineage: Eukaryota; Metazoa; Chordata; Mammalia; Rodentia; Muridae
Source: RNAcentral